GAUGAAGAACGCAGCGAAAUGCGAUAAGUAAUGUGAAUUGCAGAAUUCAGUGAAUCAUCGAAUCUUUGAACGCAUCUUGCGCUCCUUGGUAUUCCUUGGAGCAUGCCUGUUUGAGUAUCAUGAGCAAAUCUCAAAGUCAAUUCCUUUUGUUAAUUCAAUUGGUUUUGCUUUGGACUUGGAGGUCUUGCAGAUUUUCACAGUCUGCUCCUCUUAAAUGUAUUAGCUGGAUCUCGGUAUAUGCUCGGUUCCACUCGGCGUGAUAAGUAAUCACUCGCUGAGGACACUUUGUAAAAAAAGGUGGCCGGGAAAUACAGACGAACCGCUUCUAACAGUCCAUUUGCUUGGACAAUAAAGUUUUAAGAUCUGAUCUCAAAUCAGGUAGGACUACCCGCUGAACUUAAGCAUAUCAAUAAGCGGAGGA
This 421-nucleotide unclassified non-coding RNA is filed under the name soil metagenome. RNAcentral describes it as "partial contains 5.8S ribosomal RNA, internal transcribed spacer 2, and large subunit ribosomal RNA". The stretch from base 1 to 120 matches the Rfam family "5.8S ribosomal RNA", at positions 35 to 154 of the family's 154-position model. The record is from RNAcentral.